GCGCUCACUUUGGCAGUUCAUAUACUAAAAUUGGAAAAAUACAGAAAUUAGCAUGGCCCCUGUACAAGAAUAACACAGAAAUUUGUGAAGCAUUCCAUAUUUUU
This 104-nucleotide small nuclear RNA is filed under the name Myotis brandtii (Brandt's bat). The record is from RNAcentral. Lineage: Eukaryota; Metazoa; Chordata; Mammalia; Chiroptera; Vespertilionidae.